GACGAACGCUGGCGGCGUGCCUAAUACAUGCAAGUUGAGCGCUGAAGGUUGGUACUUGUACCAACUGGAUGAGCAGCGAACGGGUGAGUAACGCGUGGGGAAUCUGCCUUUGAGCGGGGGACAACAUUUGGAAACGAAUGCUAAUACCGCAUAAAAACUUUAAACACAAGUUUUAAGUUUGAAAGAUGCAGUUGCAUCACUCAAAGAUGAUCCCGCGUUGUAUUAGCUAGUUGGUGAGGUAAAGGCUCACCAAGGCGAUGAUACAUAGCCGACCUGAGAGGGGGAUCGGCCACAUUGGGACUGAGACACGGCCCAAACUCCUACGGGAGGCAGCAGUAGGGAAUCUUCGGCGAUGGACGAAAGUCUGACCGAGCAACGCCGCGUGAGUGAAGAAGGGUUUCGGAUCGUAAAACUCUGUUGGUAGAGAAGAACGUUGGUGAGAGUGGAAAGCUCAUCAAGUGACGGUAACUACCCAGAAAGGGACGGCUAACUACGUG
RNAcentral lists this ribosomal RNA (497 nucleotides) under uncultured bacterium. RNAcentral's name for it is "partial 16S ribosomal RNA". It matches the Rfam family "Bacterial small subunit ribosomal RNA", at positions 28 to 507 of the family's 1533-position model. The record is from RNAcentral.